UGGCAAGACAUAGGACUUCUCCUCUUAUU
This 29-nucleotide non-coding RNA is filed under the name Rattus norvegicus (Norway rat). The record is from RNAcentral. Lineage: Eukaryota; Metazoa; Chordata; Mammalia; Rodentia; Muridae.